UAGCUCAGCCAGUUGAGUGUAACACUAACAAUGCUAAGGUUGCGGGUUUGAGUCCCGU
This 58-nucleotide transfer RNA is filed under the name Apaloderma vittatum (bar-tailed trogon). It matches the Rfam family "tRNA", at positions 8 to 63 of the family's 71-position model. From Rfam's summary of the family: Transfer RNA (tRNA) molecules are approximately 80 nucleotides in length. Their secondary structure includes four short double-helical elements and three loops (D, anti-codon, and T loops). Further hydrogen bonds mediate the characteristic L-shaped molecular structure. tRNAs have two regions of fundamental functional importance: the anti-codon, which is responsible for specific mRNA codon recognition, and the 3' end, to which the tRNAs corresponding amino acid is attached (by aminoacyl-tRNA synthetases). tRNAs cope with the degeneracy of the genetic code in two manners: having more than one tRNA (with a specific anti-codon) for a particular amino acid; and 'wobble' base-pairing, i.e. permitting non-standard base-pairing at the 3rd anti-codon position. Lineage: Eukaryota; Metazoa; Chordata; Aves; Trogoniformes; Trogonidae. The record is from Rfam by way of RNAcentral.